Long non-coding RNA from Symphalangus syndactylus (siamang), 835 nucleotides. RefSeq lists it as uncharacterized. Lineage: Eukaryota; Metazoa; Chordata; Mammalia; Primates; Hylobatidae. The record is from RefSeq and is a predicted model, not a curated record.
AGGAGGCAAGAAUCUGGUUGGACAAGGCAAGGCACUCACCCGGCAGGCGAGACUCUGAUUGGAUGAGGCAGGUUGCUUAUUUGGCAAAGCGUGACUUACCCGGCAAGGUGUGUUGCCGCUGGGUCGGAGCGGUGCGAUGAUUAGGUAGGUCAGUUCUGGCGGUCCGCGCUCCUGGGCUGUGGGGACUUGUCGUUUCCGGCCUCCAGCCUGGAGCGGUGCGGUGAUUGGGUAGGUCAGUUCGGGCGGGCUGCGCGCGCGGGCUUUGGGGACGUGUCGUUUCCGGCCUCCAGCGUGAAGCCGACUGUGGGCUCUGGAAAGUAGGCGGUUGUGUGUCCUGGUGCUCGAAGCUUAGCCGGGCGACGCUUCGGGAGAGAGGCAGAACCAGCCUCCCAGAGCUGUGGGCUCGGCUGGGUCGCGACUCCGCCAUUAACCCCUCCGCCAACGUCCCCGCUUGUCGUCCUCCCUCGGGCCCUGGUCAGCCUCCCCGGGGCCUGCAGCCUUUGAUGCAAUUCGGGGUGGUGACCUGGCCUUGGAAAGCACUCGAGGAGCCACUCCGUAGCCUGUGCAACGAGGAUGGACCCUCCUCGCUCGGACCCAUGCUGGCCAUGCUGAAUAGCCCCGCAAAUUCUCACAGCAGUGACAGGGAGUCGCGAGCUGUGAGGGAAGCAUUGUUGAUCCUCUUGAGAACAUCAGCCAGGAUAUUCAUCCGCACCGUGACGACGGCACCAAAGGAUGGUGGAAAGAGAUUUUUAAAAAAUCAAAUCUUCUGUUUCUUUGUAUUCAGAAGAAAACUAUGUAAAGAUUAGAAACAUAAAAUUAAAAGUAUGGAAAUCCA